GAGGCUCACACUCAAAGUACUUGUCAUAAACCCUUGCAUCAGCAUGUACGUGCAUUGCAUUGUUAUGACAGUGAGUUUAAGGGUUAGCCCGAAGAAGUUUCAUAGCUGUUUGUUAUGAAGGUGUGCGGAGCUCAUUUAUUUGGUUUGGUGUCACAGUUUCAUGUUCGACGCUGUAUUGGCGACUCCGUUUUUUCUCGUACCUCGUUUUUCCUUGUCAGCCCAGUGUAACGCAACAUCAUGCGAAAGAGGAAGGUGCCAGGAGACCCCCAAUAACACAACGUGCCACUGUGAUCCUGGCUUUGAGGGAGACAGGUGCCAAACAGCGGUGAAAUGCCCCCCCCUGCCUGACCCUGAAAAUGGAAACCUCAGCUGCUCGGGGGAAAAUGUGACGUUCAACUCAACCUGUCGCCUGAAAUGCUACCCGGGCUUCCUGAUAAAAGGGCCGCGGGACGUUACCUGUUGUGCCAGCGGGGUCUGGAGCGGGCCAAGACCUCAUUGUGCAAUCUACAAACAGGGUCUGUUUGCUGUUGUUGGGUGUGCAUCCUUUUCAGUCUUCUUCUGCAUCUGUUUUUGCUGGAUGCAGCGCAGAAAAAGUUAGUAUUUCUCAAUCCCAAUACCUAAAAACCAAGAUGCGUGUGGUUGCAACAGACCCCAACACUGAGCUGUUUGUCUUCCGA
This is a long non-coding RNA of Pungitius pungitius (ninespine stickleback), 677 nucleotides long. RefSeq lists it as uncharacterized. The transcript has 3 exons. The record is from RefSeq and is a predicted model, not a curated record. NCBI's taxonomy places the organism in Eukaryota, Metazoa, Chordata, Actinopteri, Perciformes, Gasterosteidae.